CAUUUUUUUGUGCUUGUUCUGUAGAAUUCUGUGGAUAUCUAAAUGCUUAUAGUUGGCCGUAGGUUUGAUUUUUUGGUUGUGCUCGAGCAUUAAGUUUGUCACUAGCUGACGAGGCUCAGGUUGAAAAGAUCAGAAGACAAUCACUGAAAUUAAAAUCACUUAAGGAUCUGAGUUUAAGGGAUCAGUUUUCAGUAAUUAAGAGAAAUAGUCCAGCUAUAACAGAAAUAGAUCACCAUGAGCAUAUGAUUACACCCUUUCAACCUACUAGUGAUAAUAUACUUAC
Molecule: long non-coding RNA, 283 nt
Organism: Patella vulgata (common limpet)
Lineage: Eukaryota; Metazoa; Mollusca; Gastropoda; Patellidae
Exons: 3
Source: RefSeq, a predicted model, not a curated record